CGUUUACGCACUUUUAGACUAUC
This 23-nucleotide small nuclear RNA is filed under the name Arabidopsis thaliana (thale cress). RNAcentral describes it as "snRNA_07498". The record is from RNAcentral. Lineage: Eukaryota; Viridiplantae; Streptophyta; Magnoliopsida; Brassicales; Brassicaceae.